Alexandromys fortis (reed vole) is the source of this 504-nucleotide long non-coding RNA. RefSeq lists it as uncharacterized. The record is from RefSeq and is a predicted model, not a curated record. The transcript is spliced from 3 exons. NCBI's taxonomy places the organism in Eukaryota, Metazoa, Chordata, Mammalia, Rodentia, Cricetidae.
UCCUUGGCCUUCGCUACCACGUAAAAAGAAAACAAACCCGGACACUUAGCUCCUGGCGGAUUCCCCGAGACAGCUGGGGAGAUACUGGCUAUGCAAAGGCUGUCCUAAUUAGAGGCUGUGACUUAAUCUUUGUCUGCUUUCAGGGACUGCCCUGCCUGCUGCUGAAUUAGAGGCCUCCAGUCUUCUCCAGUUGAGGAGGCAGGCAGGCAGGAGGGAGGAGAGGAUGUGAGGAGAGCCGCUGGGGAGAGCCCAAGGGCAGGACCAAACACCUAAGCUGCAGAUUGAACAAGACUACUUACAAAAACAGAUGACCUACUACUGUGUACUACCUACCUACUGUGGGUAGCCACAAUUCAUUGCAAGCGCAAUUAUUUAUGUUUUGAAGUAGCAGAUUAAUGAAGUCUGAAUAAUACCCAUUUAUAUCUCUUCUCUUACAAUAUGAACAUUUCCUUAUUUCCUUUUCUUAUUGUUUUGUUUGAAAUCUUUACAAAAGUAAUAAAUCAA